This 762-nucleotide ribosomal RNA is filed under the name uncultured bacterium. RNAcentral's name for it is "bacterial SSU rRNA". It matches the Rfam family "Bacterial small subunit ribosomal RNA", at positions 59 to 822 of the family's 1533-position model. The record is from RNAcentral.
CAGUCGAACGGAGCUGCUUUGAUGAAGUUUUCGGAUGGAUUUAAAACAGCUUACUGUCGGACGGGUGAGUAACGCGUGGGUAACCUGCCUCACACUGGGGGAUAACAGUUAGAAAUAGCUGCUAAUACCGCAUAAGCGCACAGUUCCGCAUGGAACAGUGUGAAAAACUCCGGUGGUGUGAGAUGGACCCGCGUCUGAUUAGCCAGUUGGCGGGGUAACGGCCCACCAAAGCGACGAUCAGUAGCCGGCCUGAGAGGGUGAACGGCCACAUUGGGACUGAGACACGGCCCAAACUCCUACGGGAGGCAGCAGUGGGGAAUAUUGCACAAUGGGGGAAACCCUGAUGCAGCGACGCCGCGUGAGUGAAGAAGUAUUUCGGUAUGUAAAGCUCUAUCAGCAGGGAAGAAAGUGACGGUACCUGAAUAAGAAGCCCCGGCUAACUACGUGCCAGCAGCCGCGGUAAUACGUAGGGGGCAAGCGUUAUCCGGAUUUACUGGGUGUAAAGGGAGCGUAGACGGCAAGGCAUGUCUGAAGUGAAAGCCCGGUGCUUAACGCCGGGACUGCUUUGGAAACUGUUUAGCUGGAGUGCCGGAGAGGUAAGCGGAAUUCCUAGUGUAGCGGUGAAAUGCGUAGAUAUUAGGAAGAACACCAGUGGCGAAGGCGGCUUUUUGGCCUGUAACUGACACUGAGGCGCGAAAGCGUGGGGAGCAAACAGGAUUAGAUACCCUGGUAGUCCACGCCGUAAACGAUGAGUGCUAAGUG